RNAcentral lists this ribosomal RNA (497 nucleotides) under uncultured bacterium. Its description in RNAcentral is "partial 16S ribosomal RNA". It matches the Rfam family "Bacterial small subunit ribosomal RNA", at positions 28 to 507 of the family's 1533-position model. The record is from RNAcentral.
GAUGAACGCUGGCGGCGUGCCUAAUACAUGCAAGUCGAGCGAACAGACGAGGAGCUUGCUCCUCUGACGUUAGCGGCGGACGGGUGAGUAACACGUGGAUAACCUACCUAUAAGACUGGGAUAACUUCGGGAAACCGGAGCUAAUACCGGAUAAUAUAUUGAACCGCAUGGUUCAAUAGUGAAAGACGGUUUUGCUGUCACUUAUAGAUGGAUCCGCGCCGCAUUAGCUAGUUGGUAAGGUAACGGCAUACCAAGGCAACGAUGCGUAGCCGACCUGAGAGGGUGAUCGGCCACCCUGGAACUGAGCCACGGUCCAGACUCCUACGGGAGGCAGCAGUAGGGAAUCUUCCGCAAUGGGCGAAAGCCUGACGGAGCACCGCCGAGUGAGUGAUGAAGGUCUUCGGAUCGUAAAACUCUGUUAUUAGGGAAGAACAAAUGUGUAAGUAACUAUGCACGUCUUGACGGUACCUAAUCAGAAAGCAACGGCUAACUACGUG